AUUGAACGCUGGCGGCAUGCCUUACACAUGCCAGUCGAACGGCAGCGGGCCCUUCGGGGUGCCGGCGAGUGGCGAACGGGUGAGUAAUGCAUCGGAACGUACCCGGGAGAGGGGGAUAACCGGCCGAAAGGCUGGCUAAUACCGCAUGAACUCGGAAGAGCAAAGCGGGGGACCUUCGGGCCUCGCGCUCUCGGAGCGGCCGAUGUCCGAUUAGGCUAGUUGGUGGGGUAAAGGCCCACCAGGGCGACGAUCGGUAGCGGGUCUGAGAGGACGAUCCGCCACACGGGGAUGGGGAAACGGCCCAACCCCCCAGGGGGGGGAGGGGGGGGGAAUUUUGGAAAAGGGGGGAAAGCCUGACCCAGCAAGGCCGCGGGGGGGAAGAAGGCCUUGGGGUUGGAAACCCCUUUGGGGGGGGAAGAAAUCGGGCAGGGGAAAAGUUCGGCUGGAUGACGGUCCCCGCAGAAGAAGCACCGGCUAACUACGU
Molecule: ribosomal RNA, 484 nt
Filed under: uncultured bacterium
Lineage: Bacteria
Description: partial 16S ribosomal RNA
Rfam family: Bacterial small subunit ribosomal RNA
Source: RNAcentral